UAAUAAUACUUAACAAACCUAGUAUUAUUUUAAUAAUUUUAAUUUGUACCUAAGAAAUCCAAUAAUCCAAUUUUUUUUUGUACAUAAUAAUACCUAGUAUUCAAUUCAAUUAGCCCAAACCUGUUUCAAUCUCGUAAAACUUUAUAAAACCAAAAUAUUAAAUUUUACACAUUCAAAAUACAAAUAAAAAGCAUAAGAAAACUGCCUUUGCCCACAAAAUCAUUCCCUAUCACAUCCCCUCCAAACUACUUAUGCACAGAGUUCCACCUACACACUGUAACAUACAAGCCAAGGAACAUGAUUAAUAAUUGAAUACAGAACAUAUCCAAAUCCAGAUGAGCCACCAAGACAUACGCUAACCACCAAGCCUUCACAUAUAAAAUCCAGAGUAUUAAAAAGUAGAUGAGGUAAUGAGUAAGUAACUAAAUGCUAUGAAAGUAAGUAAUACCUUCAGCUAAUGUAUCUAAAGCAAGAUCAGAAAAAAUGCUUUCAAGGGGUCCAUUAACAACUCUGUAACAGGAAGAAAGAAUAAAAUCAACAGAAGUCGUGCAUAGUAAUAUUGUUACAUGGGAUGCCUCUUUUCCCUAUUCUAGUAUCUCUCUUAAU
Molecule: long non-coding RNA, 606 nt
Filed under: Brassica napus (rape)
Lineage: Eukaryota; Viridiplantae; Streptophyta; Magnoliopsida; Brassicales; Brassicaceae
Description: long non-coding RNA (BNAP_LNC004402)
Source: RNAcentral